Molecule: small RNA, 148 nt
Filed under: Macaca mulatta (Rhesus monkey)
Lineage: Eukaryota; Metazoa; Chordata; Mammalia; Primates; Cercopithecidae
Also listed under: 1 other name
Description: Metazoan signal recognition particle RNA (ENSMMUG00000062564.1)
Rfam family: Metazoan signal recognition particle RNA
About the family: The signal recognition particle (SRP) is a universally conserved ribonucleoprotein.
Source: Rfam by way of RNAcentral
GCCGGGCAUGGUGGCGCAUGCCUGUAGUCCCAGUUACUCGGGAGGCUGAGGCAGAAGAAUCUCUUGAACCCAGGAGGCAGAGGUUGCAGUGAGCCGAGGUCACGCCACUGCACUCCAUCCUGGGUGACAGAGCGAGAUUCCGUCUCAA